GGAAUUCAUUCUUAUUAUCGUGGCACAAUCCAGUCACCGCCCAGACCCUGGGCUAUAACAUCGGAUGCAAGCGCUUGAUGGUCGAUGGCACUUCUCGCCGUCGCAAGGAGGCUGCAGCGGACGCACCCUCAUCGCUUCCUCCGGUUUGCGCUUCACAACAUAUUUGACGCACCUUGUAAAACACAAAUAAAAUGUGAUUUCUAUUCGACAUUUGAUCGAACACAUCUCGUGUCCUCAGAUCGCAUCCCGCGGAGCGUAACUAUACAAUACUUCUCCACGCAAAAGCCCUACGACCCACUUGGCUUCAUUGAAGACCCAGAUGAUGUUCAUCAACUACUCGAACCGGGAGUUCUUAAAUUGCUCGAAGUUGCCAAAAAAUUCCCCUCGGAAGAGGAAGCCAUGGCCUUUCUUGACUCGUCUGGUGUCAAACCCAACAGGCAUUUGGUUUGUUCGGCGAUAUGGGCGCUGAGAGAUGAGUGGAAAGUGGCGUUUUUGGUAUUCAAAUGGGGUGAGAAGUGUGAGUCCAGUAGUGAGAAAGCUCGCGGUAUGGUGAUAUGGGUACUGGGCAAUCAUAGAAAGUUCAGUGUUGCUUGGGGAUUGAUUCGUGGCUGGCAUCAUUCUUCGGUGGAAACUCAGCGGGCAAUGUUAAUCCUGAUGGAUCGAUAUGCUGCUGCAAAUAAUCCUGCUAAAGCAAUUAGAACAUUCCACAUUAUGGAGAGACUCAAAGUGUCUCCUGAUGUGAAAACAUUCUAUGUCCUCCUUAAUACUCUUUGUAAACAUGGGAACAUUGAGGAGGCUGAAGACUGCAUGCUUUUAAAUAAGAAAUUUUUUCCAUUGGAGACUGAAGGUUUCAACAUAAUUCUUAAUGGUUGGUGUAGUAUAUCUAUUGAUAUAAUUGAAGCUAAGAGGAUCUGGAGAGAAAUGUCGAAGUGCUGCAUCAUUCCAAAUGCAACUUCUUAUACUCACAUGAUUUCAUGCUUCUCAAAGGUUGGGAAUCUCUUUGACUCACUGAGGCUCUAUGAUGAGAUGAAGAAAAGAGGAUGGGUCCCAGGCCUGGAGGUUUACAAUGCUUUGAUAUAUGUUUUAACUCGUGAAAAUUGCUUGAAGGAAGCUCUCAAACUCCUGGAAAGAAUGAAAGAGAUGGGUUUUAAACCAGAUUCUGCUACUUAUAAUUCCCUCAUAUGUCCGUUAUGUGAAGCCAAAAAACAGGAGGAAGCAAGAACUAUACUGGCUAGGAUGAUUGGGGAAAAUAUCAGUCCAACUAUUGACACAUACCAUGCAUUUCUUGAGGGUGCGACUUUGGAAGGAACUUUGGAAGUUCUUAAGCGAAUGAGGAGAGCUGGUUGUAGUCCUGAAGGGGAGACCUUUCACCUUAUUCUUGCUAAUUUCUUCAAAUCAAAGCAAGUUGAUAAUGCUUUGAAGAUUUGGGUAGAAAUGAAGCAACAUGUAGUUGUUAAUUCUGGACAUUAUGCUGCACUGGUCGAAGGACUGGCAAUGUGCGGGCAGUUUGACAAGGCUAGGGAAUUUCAUGCUGAGAUGAUAUCAAAGGGGUUUUUAGAUGAUCCAAAGUUCAAAACACUCUUGAAGGCACAAGGCUAAAAUGGUAGAAGAGAUGAGCGUUACUAGAUUAAGUCGUAGAAAGGGCUCUGUGAUGAAGCGGCAAAAAGGUUGAAGUCAAUUGAUGCAAAACAGAUCUGUUGAAGUCUCAAUUGAAACAGAGUAAAUGUAUUAUGCUGUAGUAGGGAAAAAUUGACAUUGCCAGGCAGGAAUUGCCAGUUCUGCAAAUACAAAUAAAAGCUCCUGGCAUACAAUGGGUGUUGUUGGAAACCACUGAAAAGAAAUAUUGUCCCGUAGGUAUUGUGUAGAAGCUUUAUAUCUGUACCAGCCAGCUACCUUGUACACAAUGAAUUCUUUGAGCAGAACUUCUCUUCAUGCUUGAAUCCAUCACCAGUGGUCUACUUUUUAUCCUCAAGCUAGUACAAACAAAAUGCUUGAGUUGAUUGAGGGAUACAACCCAAUAAAAGGAAUGUAGUCAUAAAGGUUGAUCUCUUUCCCCUCUUCAUAGUGGGGCGUGUCAUUGCAAUUCGUUAAAUCUAGUCCUAGUUUAAAGCAUGUGUGGGUGAUGACAGCCAUGCCCUUUUUUUGGCUAAUUAUUAUGGCUGUCCACUGCUAGUCAGCUGGAUGAUGAGAAAAAACCUCUACACAUAUGGAAGGCUCCUGAUGUUGGACUAAUCUGCAACCAUGCACGGAUCCUGAUAAAGAAAUCUAUUCCAUCUCCUACUUUGCUAGAAAUGAUGCAUAUUUGCCUAAAAUUCAAAAAGUCGAGGGAAUGAAGCUCAGAUGAGGUCGAAGUGGUAGACCGCAAUGGUACUAUGAUGACAGAAGACGUUACCCUCCGAGACACGGGGGUAUGAGGGUAGCCUCGGUUGGUGAAUAACGGCCACCAAUGUGAACGACAUCCAUGCUAGGUGAGUCAUCCAAGUUAUCUUACAACAAACCAGAGGCUAUAAAUAAGACCCCCCCCCCCCAACAGGAGCAAAGAACACAUCAACUGCAAGUUGUGUCCUCUUCUGUUUUUCUAUUUGUUGUCAUUUCGCCAUUGAAGCGCAUCUAGUGAGUGCGUGGUUGGACAAAUUGUGUAAUCUAAUUGUUGUAAUAAAACUUUGUUUUAUCUCUUCAAUCGUUUCUUUUAAGAA
RNA transcript from Malania oleifera, 2696 nucleotides. It is a transcript of the gene named pentatricopeptide repeat-containing protein At1g80880, mitochondrial, with no coding region annotated. The record is from RefSeq and is a predicted model, not a curated record. The transcript is spliced from 6 exons. NCBI's taxonomy places the organism in Eukaryota, Viridiplantae, Streptophyta, Magnoliopsida, Santalales, Ximeniaceae.